Molecule: ribosomal RNA, 253 nt
Filed under: uncultured bacterium
Lineage: Bacteria
Description: partial 16S ribosomal RNA
Rfam family: Bacterial small subunit ribosomal RNA
Source: RNAcentral
UACGAAGGGGGCUAGCGUUGCUCGGAAUCACUGGGCGUAAAGCGCACGUAGGCGGGUCUUUAAGUCAGGGGUGAAAUCCCGGAGCUCAACUCCGGAACUGCCUUUGAUACUGAAGAUCUUGAGUCCGGGAGAGGUGAGUGGAACUCCGAGUGUAGAGGUGAAAUUCGUAGAUAUUCGGAAGAACACCAGUGGCGAAGGCGGGUCUCUGGACAGUUCCUGACGCUGAGGCACGAAGGCCAGGGGAGCAAACGGG